RNAcentral lists this ribosomal RNA (492 nucleotides) under uncultured bacterium. RNAcentral describes it as "partial 16S ribosomal RNA". It matches the Rfam family "Bacterial small subunit ribosomal RNA", at positions 29 to 507 of the family's 1533-position model. The record is from RNAcentral.
AGUGAACGCUGGCGGUAGGCCUAACACAUGCAAGUCGAACGGCAGCACAGUAAGAGCUUGCUCUUACGGGUGGCGAGUGGCGGACGGGUGAGGAAUACAUCGGACUCUACUUUUUCGUGGGGGAUAACGAAGGGGAACUUAUGCUAAUACCGCAUACGACCUACGGGUGAAGGCAGGGGAUCUUCGGCCCUUGCGCGAUUGAAUGAGCCGAUGUCGGAUUAGCUAGGUGGAGGGGUAAAGGCCUCCCAAGGCGACGAUCCGUAGCUGGUCGGAGAGGACGAACAGCCAAACUGGAACUGAGACACGGCCCCGACUCCUACGGGAGGCCGCAGUGGGGAAUUUUGGACAAUGGGCGCAAGCCUGAUCCAGCCAUACCGCGUGUGUGAAGAAGGCCUUCGGGUUGUAAAGCCCUUUUGUUGGGAAAGAAAAGCAGCAGGUUAAUACCCCGGUGUGCUGACGGUACCCAAAGAAUAAGCACCGGCUAACUUCGUG